This 1237-nucleotide long non-coding RNA is filed under the name Homo sapiens (human). RNAcentral describes it as "HSALNT0369916". The record is from RNAcentral. Lineage: Eukaryota; Metazoa; Chordata; Mammalia; Primates; Hominidae.
AGACAAUAAUAAUAAUAAGAUGGUGAUGGGACCCAUCUGAUUGGUUCUUCUUCAUCCAUUUUUUUUCCCCUUCUUUCCUUUACUCACCGUGUAUUUAUUGGAGACAUAAAUGUUUCAGGUGCUCUUCAAGACCCCACGUACACAAAGACAAACAGUACAUAGUUCUGCAUCCCAGAACUACACACUACAAUGGGGCGAAUGAUAUAUAGUUAUAGACAGUGAGGGCUCUGGAGGGAAAAGCCAAAAGUGUGAUCUCUGCCUGAGGCAUUUAGAAGAGUCUGUGCCUUUCAUUUUAUUCUUACGCAUGCAACUCAGUUUCAAUAGAAUAAAAGACCUCCAUUUUCUAUGCAAUUAUCAUUCCAAUAAUAAAAUAAUUUUUUAAAAAAAGAAAGAAGUAAUGGGCAUGUCUGUGCAGAAAAAUGAAUACCUUGCACCAAGUGCACGGGCUCAUUUCUAAUUCCAUGUUAUUUCUUUUCACUCCACCAUCACCAACGGCAUGGCCUCACCUGGACAUUUUGAACAGGAAAGCCAAGCAGAAGCCUGACUCGCACUCCAGAGAAAAAGAAAUCAAACCUGGCUGAAAGUUUCGGUUCAGAAGACAGUUUGGAAUUCCUUUUAGAUGAUGAAAUGGACGUUGAUUUGGAGCCAGCACUUUAUUUCAAGGAACCAGAGGAGUUACUUCAAGUCCUCAGAGAGCUGGAAGAGCAGAAUCUUACUUUGUUUCAAUAUUCCCAAGAUGUAGAUGAAAAUCUUGAAGAGGUAAACAAAAGAGAAAAAGUUAUACAGGAUAAAACGAAAUACUGAUAGACUCACUUAGUAAAAAGAUUACUCAAGUAUACAAAGUCUGCAUUGGAGAUGCUGAGGAUGACGGCCUCAACCCAAUUCAAAAGCUGGUAAAAGUAGAAUCUCGCCUGGUAGAACUGUGUGACCUCAUCGAAUCCAUUCCCAAAGAAAAUGUGGAGGCAAUUGAGAGGAUGAAACAGAAAGAAUGGCGGCAAAAGUUUCGUGAUGAGAAAAUGAAAGAAAAACAAAGACACCAACAGGAAAGGCUAAAAGCUGCUCUGGAAAAAGCAGUAGCACAACCAAAGAAAAAGUUGGGAAGACGACUUGUCUUUCAUUCAAAACCUCCAUCUGGUAACAAACAGCAGCUACCUUUAGUCAAUGAAACAAAAACAAAAUCACAAGAGGAAGAAUAUUUUUUUACUUGAAUAAAAGCAGUAAGACAUUUUAUUACCAG